This 445-nucleotide ribosomal RNA is filed under the name uncultured bacterium. RNAcentral describes it as "partial 16S ribosomal RNA". It matches the Rfam family "Bacterial small subunit ribosomal RNA", at positions 354 to 796 of the family's 1533-position model. The record is from RNAcentral.
GUGAGGAAUAUUGCGCAAUGGAGGCAACUCUGACGCAGCCAUGCCGCGUGCAGGAAGAAGGCGCUACGCGUUGUAAACUGCUUUUAACCGGGAAGAAACCCCAGGACGUGUCCUGGGUUGACGGUACCGGAGGAAUAAGCACCGGCUAACUUCGUGCCAGCAGCCGCGGUAAUACGAAGGGUGCAAGCGUUAUCCGGAUUCAUUGGGUUUAAAUGGUGCGUAGGCGGAGCGUUAAGUCAGUGGUGAAAUCCUGCAGCUUAACUGUAGACUUGCCAUUGAUACUGGCGCUCUUGAGUGCGCUUGAAGUGGGCGGAAUGUGCCGUGUAGCGGUGAAAUGCUUAGAUAUGGCACAGAACACCAAUUGCGAAGGCAGCUCACUAAGGCGAUACUGACGCUGAGGCACGAAAGCGUGGGGAUCGAACAGGAUUAGAAACCCGGGUAGUCC